This is a non-coding RNA of Coffea arabica (coffee), 960 nucleotides long. The record is from RefSeq and is a predicted model, not a curated record. NCBI's taxonomy places the organism in Eukaryota, Viridiplantae, Streptophyta, Magnoliopsida, Gentianales, Rubiaceae.
CUUCUCUCCACUAUCAUCUUGCUGAAAUUAUCCAGAAAAUCAUUUUAACCCACCAUUUUCAUCCGUAAUUUGAGUUGCCCAAAAGAUUUGGGCAGCUUUAGUGGAGUUGUAGAUAGCAAAAAUCCCUAAUUCGAGGCAGGCAAGAACACAGAAAAUUGACCAUGAAUUUUAGAGGAAAGCCAGAGUUUGAAGACUGAAUCUUAAGGAAAACAAGAGUUAAGGUUGUCACGGCAUAAUUUGAGAUUUCAUGAAAAUUUAGGUGUUUUUUGCUGAAAUUUUCAAGUGGAGUCAACGAUUGAUCAAGUUCAAGAUGUGGGUUCGAGUAUAUUUGAUGUCAUUGGGAAAGUGAUUGGUGUUGCUAUUGAAGUUGUGAAGCCUGGGAUUGAUGCUGCAUUGCCUAUUUUAAAGCAAGUAGCAGAGCAAGCUCAGAAGCUUGCUUCCCCUGCAAUUUCAGAGGCAUCUAAGAAAGCUCAAGAGGCAAUUCAGAGCUCUGGCAUUGACACAGGGCUUGUGAUAACUACAGCUAAGCACUUGCAUGAUCAACUGUAACUGAAGAUUAAAACUUCACAUCUUCGUGGCUGCAGCACAACCAAGAGGCAAGCAAUUGAGCUUGACCGUUUGAGAAGUGAAAUUGAAGAGCAUCAAAGAAGGGUAGUUGCAGCAGAUGAAUGAGCUAUACAAAUUGCAGAAGAAUUCAGUGCCCAAAAGGAGCUAAUUAAGAACUUGCAAGAGCAGUAACUUGAAACUAGGGGGUUGUACGAGGAGUUAAUUGCCCAAAUGAAAGACUUGCGCAAAUGACAGACUAUUGAAAAGUCCAGCUUGAUAUUGAUCAUGAGGAGGCUGUUGGAUAUGAUGAUAGAGAUGGUUGAAGUCUGGCAUUGGUGUCGUGGUCUAUGCUUUAGUUUAGAAAUCUAGUACUCUUUUUUUGGGAAGGAUAUGUAUUGGUCAUUACUGCUUGAA